CCUUGGCAUCAGGAGCCGAAGAAGGACGUGGGAAUCUGCGAUAAGCCUGGUGGAGUCGAUAACCGGACGUUGAGGCCAGGAUUUCCGAAUGGGGAAACCCAGCACGGUGUGAGUCGUGUUACCCGUCACUGAAUUCAUAGGUGGCGUGGAGGGAACGCGGGGAAGUGAAACAUCUCAGUACCCGUAGGAAGAGAAAACAAAAGUGAUUCCGUGAGUAGUGGCGAGCGAAAGCGGAUGGGGCUAAACCUUGUAUGUGUGAUACCCGGCAGGGGUUGCGUAUGGGGUGUUGUGGGGUUAUUUCGUCCAGUCACUGCCGUGGCUGGGGGGUGAGGUGCAGGCGUAUAGGCGAAGCGGUUUGAAUGCCGUGCCGUAGAGGGUGUGAGUCCCGUAGCCGUCAUGCGUGUCUGCCGCUCUAGGAGUGAUACCCGAGUAGCACGGGGCUCGAGGAAUCUCGUGUGAAUCUGCCAGGACCACCUGGUAAGGCUGAAUACUUCCUGGUGACCGAUAGCGGACGAGUACCGUGAGGGAAUGGUGAAAAGUACCCCGGGAGGGGAGUGAAAUAGUACCUGAAACCGUUCGCCUACAAUCCGUCAGAGCCU
This 599-nucleotide ribosomal RNA is filed under the name Ochromonas sp. CCMP1393. RNAcentral describes it as "partial Bacterial large subunit ribosomal RNA". It matches the Rfam family "Bacterial large subunit ribosomal RNA", at positions 31 to 582 of the family's 2925-position model. Lineage: Eukaryota; Chrysophyceae; Chromulinales; Chromulinaceae. The record is from RNAcentral.